Molecule: ribosomal RNA, 498 nt
Filed under: uncultured bacterium
Lineage: Bacteria
Description: bacterial SSU rRNA
Rfam family: Bacterial small subunit ribosomal RNA
Source: RNAcentral
AAAGGAAUUGACGGGGACCCGCACAAGCGGUGGAGCAUGUGGUUUAAUACGACGCUACGCGUGGAACCUUACCAAGGCUUGACAUGUAUUUGAAAUCCUAAUGAAAGUUAGGACCUGUCCUAAAGACACAGAUACACAGGUGUUGCAUGGCUGUCGUCAGUUCGUGUCGUGAGAUGUUGGGUUAAGUCCCGCAACGAGCGCAACCCCUGUCAGUAGUUGCUAACCCGCAAGGGUGCACUCUACUGAGACUGCCAGUGUUUAACUGGAGGAAGGUGGGGACGACGUCAAGUCAGUACGGCCCUUAUGCCUUGGGCUACACACGUGCUACAAUCCCCGCUACAAAGAGACGCGAUACCGUAAGGUGGAGCAAAUCUCAAAAAAGCGGGGCCAGUUCAGAUCGAGGGCUGCAAUUCGCCCUCGUGAAGCCGGAAUCGCUAGUAAUCGCGCAUCAGACACGGCGCGAUGAAUACGUUCCCGGGUCUUGUACACACCGCCCGU